Molecule: long non-coding RNA, 789 nt
Filed under: Lotus japonicus
Lineage: Eukaryota; Viridiplantae; Streptophyta; Magnoliopsida; Fabales; Fabaceae
Description: long non-coding RNA (LJAP_LNC001195)
Source: RNAcentral
GUUUACAUAUGAUAUUCUCUCUCUAGUUGGUACCUAAACUUAAGCUGAGAACUUAAAUGUGGGAGUUUUAGUUAUAAAAUGGCGGUUUGAACCGUCCUUGUUUAGUAAUCCAAAUCUUCCUUUUCUACGAUUCGCUCAUGCCAGUCACGAAUCUAAUCAUGGAUUUUGUUCUCGCAAUGGUGAAAACCUUUCAGUGACAAUCCAAUCAGGUAAGAGAUUUAGGGUUCUGCAUCUCUUCUUUCUGCUAGUCAUUUCAAUUCUUGCACACUCUGUUUCUUCUUUCAAUUGUUCAUUUCUGAGUUAACCCUAGCUCAACACUGAUCUAUCUAGAACUCUUAUUAUCCUCUUUGGUUUUUCCGGGAAUCUAGCUAGGGUUUAACCUUUGCUGCUUAAUUUGAUGCAGAUAGCCUAGGUCCUUCAUUGUUUGAUAGCAUCACUUGCUACUAAAUGUCAUUGGUGGACUUUUCACACUUUACUUACUUGAAAUUGCAUUAGUACCAGAGUUCCUAACAAAUGCAAUUACUUUGAAGGAUGAUGUCACAUUGACACUACUAUAGUAUGGGAAAGGUUUAUGAACUGGGUGGUCCUCAGGUCUUUACUGUGGAUGAAUAGGUAUAUAAUCUGAUACUAUCUCCAUAUUGGUUGUUGUUUAUAGUUCAUUUCUUGUCAAAACAAGAGAUACUAAUUGGAAAAUGAGGAGAAGAAAUUAGUGAAAUGAUGUAAGGACCUUUAUGUUAAAUGCAGGCAGAGCAUAUGUAGAUAUUAUUCGAGAAUGGCCUUGAUAUGCAA